RNAcentral lists this ribosomal RNA (262 nucleotides) under Smicridea talamanca. RNAcentral's name for it is "partial 28S large subunit ribosomal RNA". It matches the Rfam family "Eukaryotic large subunit ribosomal RNA", at positions 649 to 860 of the family's 3401-position model. Lineage: Eukaryota; Metazoa; Arthropoda; Insecta; Trichoptera; Hydropsychidae. The record is from RNAcentral.
CCGUCUUGAAACACGGACCAAGGAGUCUAGCAUGCGCGCGAGUCACGGGGAGUACACGUACGAAACCCAGAGGCGCAACGAAAGUGAACAGCGUCGACCUCGCGUCGGCCGCAGGGAAGACGGCGGUCGGUCAGUCCGGCCGCCCGCAUUCCCGGGGCGUUUCGAGAAAUGCCUCCGUGCGAUUAUCGAGACGCACCGAGAGCGCGCACGCUGGGACCCGAAAGAUGGUGAACUAUGCCUGGUCAGGUCGAAGUCAGGGGAA